UACGUAGGGGGCAAGCGGUUGUCCGGAUUUAUUGGGCGUAAAGAGCGUGUAGGCGGCUAUACAGGUCCGCUGUGAAAACUCGAGGCUCAACCUCGAGACGUCGGUGGAAACCGUAUGGCUAGAGUCCGGAAGAGGAGAGUGGAAUUCCUGGUGUAGCGGUGAAAUGCGCAGAUAUCGAGGAGAACACCGUAGGCGGCAAGGCGGUCUCUGGGCCGAACUGACGCUGGAGGAGCGAAAGCGUGGGGAGCGAACAGG
This 255-nucleotide ribosomal RNA is filed under the name uncultured bacterium. RNAcentral describes it as "partial 16S ribosomal RNA". It matches the Rfam family "Bacterial small subunit ribosomal RNA", at positions 524 to 776 of the family's 1533-position model. The record is from RNAcentral.